Molecule: ribosomal RNA, 253 nt
Filed under: uncultured bacterium
Lineage: Bacteria
Description: partial 16S ribosomal RNA
Rfam family: Bacterial small subunit ribosomal RNA
Source: RNAcentral
UACGAGGGGGGCGAGCGUUGUUCGGAAUUACUGGGCGUAAAGCGCACGUAGGCGGCUCUUUAAGUCGGUGGUGAAAUCCUGGAGCUCAACUCCAGAACUGCCUUCGAUACUGGAGAGCUUGAGUCCGGGAGAGGUGAGUGGAACUGCGAGUGUAGAGGUGAAAUUCGUAGAUAUUCGCAAGAACACCAGUGGCGAAGGCGGCUCACUGGCCCGAUACUGACGCUGAGGUGCGAAAGCGUGGGGAGCAAACAGG